RNAcentral lists this ribosomal RNA (253 nucleotides) under uncultured bacterium. RNAcentral's name for it is "partial 16S ribosomal RNA". It matches the Rfam family "Bacterial small subunit ribosomal RNA", at positions 524 to 776 of the family's 1533-position model. The record is from RNAcentral.
UACGGAGGGAGCUAGCGUUGUUCGGAAUUACUGGGCGUAAAGCGCGCGUAGGCGGCUUUGUAAGUUAGAGGUGAAAGCCCGGGGCUCAACCCCGGAAUUGCCUUUAAGACUGCAUCGCUUGAAUCCGGGAGAGGUGAGUGGAAUUCCGAGUGUAGAGGUGAAAUGCGUAGAGAUCGGGAGGAACAUCAGUGGCGAAGGCGGCCAUCUGGGACAACACUGACGCUGAGGCACGAAAGCGUGGGGAGCAAACAGG